This 506-nucleotide ribosomal RNA is filed under the name uncultured bacterium. RNAcentral describes it as "partial 16S ribosomal RNA". It matches the Rfam family "Bacterial small subunit ribosomal RNA", at positions 28 to 523 of the family's 1533-position model. The record is from RNAcentral.
GAUGAACGCUAGCUACAGGCUUAACACAUGCAAGUCGAGGGGUAACAAGAGGAAAGCUUGCUUUUCUUGUUGACGACCGGCGCACGGGUGAGUAACGCGUAUCCAACCUGCCUAUAACUAGGGAAUAACCUUGCGAAAGUAAGACUAAUACCCUAUGAUUUCCUUUGAUGACAUCAGAUUAGGAAUAAAGAUUUAUCGGUGAGAGAUGGGGAUGCGUCUGAUUAGCUUGUUGGCGGGGUAACGGCCCACCAAGGCAACGAUCAGUAGGGGUUCUGAGAGGAAGGUCCCCCACAUUGGAACUGAGACACGGUCCAAACUCCUACGGGAGGCAGCAGUGAGGAAUAUUGGUCAAUGGGCGGAAGCCUGAACCAGCCAAGUAGCGUGCAGGAUGACGGCCCUAUGGGUUGUAAACUGCUUUUAUACAGGAAUAAAGUUAGCCACGUGUGGUUAUUUGUAGGUACUGUAUGAAUAAGGACCGGCUAAUUCCGUGCCAGCAGCCGCGGUAA